CAAUUCUUUGUUUUCUGAGGCCCUGAAGGGUCGCAAAAGCGGCGGCUCGGUUUUACCCAGAAGACCGCGCGUCGGGCGCUCGAAAAUUUGCAUAUGCUUUUCUCGCCGGGGCGGGGCUGGCGGGGGCGGGACCGCGGCGCGCUCUUGAACUCCACCGGCAGCUAACCCGGGUUUGGCUACGCUGUAUUGCCUUUUAUUUCGUUUCUCCUCACCGAGUAUUUUCCAUUAUAGCUGUACAUAGCUCUUUUUGUGGAAGAUCAUCCUUCCUCGUGCUAAUCUCUUUGGUCUUCCAGUCGGCAUGCGUCUGGACUCUCGGACUGCGUCUGGGCCAGAAAUGUCUAGGCGUCCCCGGAGCGGGUGGGCGGGAGCGCUGCCCCGCAGGCCGGCCGCUAACAGGCUCCCGGUGUUUCCCGCUGCAGGUGGUUCUGCUGGGCAUGGACAUCCUGUCCGCCCUGGUGACCCGGCUGCAGGAUCGGUUCAAGGCGCAGAUCGGCACAGUGCUGCCAAGUCUAAUAGACAGACUAGGAGAUGCUAAAGACUCUGUGAGGGAGCAGGACCAAACUCUGCUGCUAAAGAUCAUGGAUCAAGCUGCUAAUCCCCAGUACGUAUGGGACAGAAUGCUUGGAGGCUUCAAACACAAGAAUUUCCGUACUCGAGAAGGCAUCUGUCUCUGCCUUAUAGCAACACUCAAUGCCUCUGGAGCACAGACUUUAACACUAAGCAAGAUUGUGCCACAUAUAUGCAACUUACUUGGAGAUCCAAACAGCCAGGUUCGAGAUGCAGCAAUAAACAGCUUAGUGGAAAUUUACAGACAUGUAGGAGAACGUGUGAGGGCAGAUCUCAGUAAAAAAGGAUUGCCACAGUCCCG
This 868-nucleotide small RNA is filed under the name Pan troglodytes (chimpanzee). RNAcentral describes it as "retained intron". The record is from RNAcentral. Lineage: Eukaryota; Metazoa; Chordata; Mammalia; Primates; Hominidae.